RNAcentral lists this ribosomal RNA (253 nucleotides) under uncultured bacterium. RNAcentral describes it as "partial 16S ribosomal RNA". It matches the Rfam family "Bacterial small subunit ribosomal RNA", at positions 524 to 776 of the family's 1533-position model. The record is from RNAcentral.
UACAGAGGGUGCAAGCGUUAAUCGGAAUUACUGGGCGUAAAGCGUGCGUAGACGGUUAAGUAAGUUAGGUGUGAAAGCCCCGGGCUCAACCUGGGAAUUGCAUUUAAGACUGCUUAGCUAGGGUGCGGAAGAGGGAAGCGGAAUUUCCGGUGUAGCGGUGAAAUGCGUAGAUAUCAGGAGGAACACCGGUGGUGUAGGCGGCUCACUGGCCCGGAACUGACGCUGAGGUGCGAAAGCGUGGGGAGCAAACAGG